AAAUUAAAAUACACUUUCUCUUUCUAUUAAUUGUCAUGUUAAUCUUUAAGAACAUUCUUUAUAUUUUCUUCCAGAACAAAUGAUUUAAGUUGCAAAAAAAAAAAACGAUUUAGAGCGCGAUGUUGUUUAGAGAAUUUCUGUAAGAAAACCAUGGCAACAAAACAAACCCUUGAUGAUAUUCAAACCUAACAUAAACAAAAAGAGUCACUUAGCUAGGCAAGAAAAGGAGUCCAUAUCUAUUUAAGGUCAAGACUACGGUUGAUGUUUUGUAUUGGCAUUUCUCUAGAAACUAUUGUUCGUUUGAAAGUUAUUUUUCUUUCUAUUCUGAUCAUUUUGUUGUAACGUUUUCUUCUCAUUGUUGGAUGACUUUCCACCACAUAUAGCCUCUCCC
Molecule: long non-coding RNA, 391 nt
Filed under: Brassica napus (rape)
Lineage: Eukaryota; Viridiplantae; Streptophyta; Magnoliopsida; Brassicales; Brassicaceae
Description: long non-coding RNA (BNAP_LNC027150)
Source: RNAcentral